This 73-nucleotide transfer RNA is filed under the name Otolemur garnettii (small-eared galago). It matches the Rfam family "tRNA". Rfam says of the family: Transfer RNA (tRNA) molecules are approximately 80 nucleotides in length. Their secondary structure includes four short double-helical elements and three loops (D, anti-codon, and T loops). Lineage: Eukaryota; Metazoa; Chordata; Mammalia; Primates; Galagidae. The record is from Rfam by way of RNAcentral.
GCACCUGUGGCUCAAUGAGUAGGGCGCUGGCCCCAUAUGCCAGAGGUGGUGGGUUCAAACCCAGCCUUGGCCA